AACUCAUGAUUUAGGCAUUGCAUUAACUUGUUGUUGAAUCAUCGCCAAGCCUCAUAUAAUGGUUCGCCAUUUAGUUGGCAAAAAUUAGUGAUUUCAUCCCUUAGUAU
Molecule: non-coding RNA, 107 nt
Organism: Capsicum annuum
Lineage: Eukaryota; Viridiplantae; Streptophyta; Magnoliopsida; Solanales; Solanaceae
Source: Rfam